GACGAACGCUGGCGGCGUGCUUAACACAUGCAAGUCGAACGGAAAGGCUCCUUCGGGGGUACUCGAGUGGCGAACGGGUGAGUAACACGUGGGUGAUCUGCCCUGCACUUUGGGAUAAGC
RNAcentral lists this ribosomal RNA (120 nucleotides) under uncultured bacterium. Its description in RNAcentral is "partial 16S ribosomal RNA". It matches the Rfam family "Bacterial small subunit ribosomal RNA", at positions 28 to 148 of the family's 1533-position model. The record is from RNAcentral.